AUAAAUUUCAUUCGAAUACGCGUAUAACAUCUAUUACAACCCAUAAAAAGGGGCAUACUGUUUGAAGCAAAAUUACAAAGUUUAACCAAAAAAAGACAUAAAUUCAUCCUAAUCUUAAUCACAUCCUCAAGCUCUUCUUUGAUUUUUGGUUGAACCAUUGGUGUGUGAAUACUCCAAUUUCCAAUCCUGAUAGCGCGAUUGUUUAAAAAACAAACCGUCACGCCGUGAGUAUUAGCAAGGAGACGACCAAACCAUGGUAAGUAACAAUCCUGUUGCGCAACACACCGCCGAUGUGAACCAUGUAUCAAGCAUCACCUGCAAUGCAUUUGUAAUACCAUAAGAGCCACACGGUGACAUAAAACAAAUUCAGCAUAACUACACCAUGAUACCAAGAUACACAACGCAUAACGGACCUGAGGCCAAUCAGGACAAAAUGUUGCUACUCUACAUCAGCAUAGAAUCAUUACAACAAUAAAGCCAUGCCAAGCAUCAUGAAUCUUCCAUUACCAUGACCUCAACCCUUACAGCAGCGAGACCUGCAUUAACCAUCUUGCAGCCAUAAUCCACUCACCUAAAUUGAAUCAAUCCAAUACACCAAAUAUGGACCUAUGCAUCCUAUAAGUUGAUUUUAACCCUGCAAUUGCCAUGACUCUGUCAAACAAAUAUGGACAUUGUUUCCAAGAACAGAUACAUAAGCUGAAGUUUUGUUUCGUGUUGCGCAUAUCGUAUGGAAAACAGGUCACAAUCAGUUAGACCUCAAGGCAAAAACUGCAGAAGCAUGUUGAAAAGAAAUCUUUUAUUAUAACCAAUGCUUUAUAGACAAGGUUAAUACAGGAAAGCUCAAAUCACUUAUAAACCAUGAUUGACGAACCUUAAGUCAGGUAGAAGCAUUGUUGUUGUGCGCAUAACCAUGACCAAUGAUAGUAGGCAAACUUCAGGAGGAAUAAACCUGCCAAGACAGGAAUUACCAGUUACCCGACUAUGAAUGAAAAUUGAAAGUUCAAGUCAUAUAAAAGGAUUACAAAUAUAAAAAUUAAGUUAAGGUUUCUACUGCAGUAAAGAAAAAUCUCAACGCACCACAUAGUUUUUUUGUUCACUACGGACAAAACCCUAUCCUUUCAUUUCGGGGACCAAAUCAAUUUGGAGGACCACCAAAUCUGGAAGGGUUCAUGAAGGAUGAGAACCAAUGAACCUCGUACUCGACUCUAUAAAAGGGGGCAUUGAACCAUUGAAGACUCUCUCGGAUUUACGCAUCGUUACUCUGCCAAAAAAUCACCAUCAAAUCACCAAAGUUCAUAUUAUAAAAACUACCCAGAGUUUCUCAUUGAAACUUUGGAUUAGUCGAACUAAACCGACCAUCGCGACUUGCGACAUAGAAAGGAAGAAGAAGAAGACAAGGAGCGCAAGAGGGCGGAAAGAAGGAAAGAAGGAGUAGAUACCUGAAGCCAUCACCACCGCCGGAAUUUUGCCGGAUUCCCAAGGUUUUCACGAGACCCAUUCGCCUUCACGUUAGGGUUUGCUCUUUUCUACUCUUCGAGAGAUUUUUGCUUGCACCUGUUUUGUGUUUGUUUUAAGCUAGAUGACUAUUGAUGUUGGUAUGGGAUAUGUUUAAGAUUCCAAAAACUUGAUGUUGUAUUUAAGGUUUGUGGCUCCAUUAAAACUCGUGGGUAGGGAUGGGUCUGUAGUUCGUAAAUGUUCAUCCCAUUUUCGACUGAGGUAGAUGUUAGAAAUUUUUUGGUCUUAUAAUAUUUGAAGGUUGGUUUUUGUUUGAAGCCAUAGUUUUAGAGUUAAAGGAAGAAGGAAGUGUAUCGUUCCUUUUUAAUAUCAGCAAUUUCGACUGAGGUAGAUGUUAGAAAUUUUUUGGUCUUAUAAUAUUUGAAGGUUGGUUUUUGUUUGAAGCCAUAGUUUUAGAGUUAAAGGAAGAAGGAAGUGUAUCGUUCCUUUUUAAUAUCAGCAUCUAAGGGCAAUUCUUUUUAAAAAAUCACAUUUAUCCAUGGUAUGAAAGUGGAGUUUCCUAGCUUUAAUUUGUCAUUCACGAUGUGUAUUUAAAAGUUGCCAUUCAUUGAUGACGGUUGGGUGCAUGAAUGCCACCUCGAGCCCGUUGUCCGCAUUACUCCCACGUGUCCCACUAGCGGGAAGGCCAAGGGCCAUUCAUAAAGGCAAGCGCAG
Molecule: long non-coding RNA, 2169 nt
Filed under: Lathyrus oleraceus (garden pea)
Lineage: Eukaryota; Viridiplantae; Streptophyta; Magnoliopsida; Fabales; Fabaceae
Description: Pisum sativum (pea) long non-coding RNA (PSAT_LNC009874)
Source: RNAcentral